RNAcentral lists this long non-coding RNA (806 nucleotides) under Homo sapiens (human). Its description in RNAcentral is "HSALNT0395465". Lineage: Eukaryota; Metazoa; Chordata; Mammalia; Primates; Hominidae. The record is from RNAcentral.
UUUCCUCUCACUCAGCGUCCUGUGAUUCCAAAGAAAUGAGUCUCUGCUGUUUUUGGGCAGCAGAUAUCCUAGAAUGGACUCUGACCUAAGCAUCAAAAUUAAUCAUCAUAACGUUAUCAUUUUAUGGCCCCUUCUUCCUAUAUCUGGUAGCUUUUAAAUGAUGACCAUGUAGAUAAUCUUUAUUGUCCCUCUUUCAGCAGACGGUAUUUUCUUAUGCUACAGUAUGACUGCUAAUAAUACCUACACAUGUUAGAACCAUUCUGACUCCUCAAGAAUCUCAUUUAACUCUUAUUAUCAGUGAAUUUAUCAUCAUCCCCUAUUUUACAUAAGGAAAUGGGGUUAGAAAGACCAAAUAACAUUUUUUCAACAUCAAAACACUAGCUUGAGAUCAAGCCCAGACUUGGAUCUGUCGUCUGAAUUCCAAGCUUUUUGUUAUUUAUUGAUAUGUUUUGUUGUUUUCAUGCAAUAAUGCAAAUCUUAGCCCAAACAUUUUGUUAGUAGUACCAACUGUAAGUCACCUUAUCUUCAUACUUUGUCUUUAUGUAAACCUAAAUUAGAUCUGUUUUUGAUACUGAGGGAAAAACAAGGGAAUCUAACACUAACCAGCCCGUAGUGUGUGGUCAACACUUUCGUUACUUUAGUAUACAUCACCCCAAUUGUUUGUCUUCACCACACACUUUGGAGUUAGGUAGUAGUAUCUAUUUUUACAAAUAAGAAAACCCAGGCACAAAGGGGUUGAUUAGCAAUUAUCUUUUGAAAAGCCUGUAGUUGCUCAUCUGAAGAAGUGACGGACCACCUCUUAUUUA